Molecule: ribosomal RNA, 119 nt
Filed under: Pteropus alecto (black flying fox)
Lineage: Eukaryota; Metazoa; Chordata; Mammalia; Chiroptera; Pteropodidae
Source: RNAcentral
GUCUAUGGCCAUGCCACCCUGAACAAGCCCAAUCCCAUCUGAUCUUGAAAGCUAAGCAGGAACGGGUCUGGUUAGUACUUGGAUGGGAGACCACCUAGGAAGACCAGGUGCUGUAGGUG